RNAcentral lists this unclassified non-coding RNA (240 nucleotides) under soil metagenome. RNAcentral describes it as "partial contains 5.8S ribosomal RNA, internal transcribed spacer 2, and large subunit ribosomal RNA". The record is from RNAcentral.
AACGGUCUAUACCUGCGGUACCUGCGGAAGGAUCAUUAUUGAUUUUAACAGGAUGUGCUGGCUCUCAAAGGGGGCAAUGUGCACUCCUAAUAAAACCAAUAUCCACCUGUGCACCUUAAGUAGACUAGUAGGACUCAUCACAGUCUUUCCAGUCUAUGUUCCUUCACAAACCUUUUUUGAAAUGUAAAUGAAUGAUCAUAUGUAUAAUUAAUAACAACUUUCAACAAUGGAUCUCUAGAU